GGCUGGGAGGGCGAUCUGGCUGCGACAUUCGUCACCCCACUGAUCACCACGGUUGAUUCAGCCAAUCUGGCUGGCCAGGCGGGGGUCCCCUUCCUCCCUCACUGCUCCAGGUACAUCCCUCCUGAAGCUGCGCAAUCCGUCAAAGAGGACGACCUUCCCCAAUAGAGGAGAGGACCGUUCUUCGGUCAAGGGUAGAAGGGUAGCCAUGCUCCCAUCCAGAGUCUCCAAAUAAGCUCUCAAGGUCCAUCUGUAGGAGAAUGGAGGGCAGUCAAGCUUCUAAGACUCCAGACACGUCCAAAGGGAGGCGCUGCAUGGGGCCAAUUGCCUAUGAGU
Molecule: small nuclear RNA, 333 nt
Filed under: Neogale vison (American mink)
Lineage: Eukaryota; Metazoa; Chordata; Mammalia; Carnivora; Mustelidae
Description: Neovison vison (American mink) 7SK RNA (ENSNVIG00000004865.1)
Rfam family: 7SK RNA
About the family: 7SK was discovered as an abundant small nuclear RNA in the mid-70s but a possible function has only recently been suggested.
Source: Rfam by way of RNAcentral